UAAGUUAAACAAAAUUUUUUAGAAUAUAAAAUCCUUAAAAUGUAUAGGUUAAUUAUCAGACCCGAGUUUGACCCGUCCCUGAGAGUGACCCGAUCUGAAUUCUAUUUGAUCUGAUUAUUAUCCGAUCCAAACUAAGACCCGAACCCGAAAAUAACUGUGUUGCAAACUGACUUAAACCCGACUCGAUAAGACCCAAACCCGAAAUUAUCUGCUACAAACCGACUUAAACCCGACCCGAUAAGACCCGAACCCGAAAUCAAACCUGACCGAAAUGUGACCCGACUCGAACCCGACCUGAACCCGGGAUAGGAAAAAACCCGAUAUGACCCGACCUGAAAUCGACCCGACCGAACCCGAACUCAACCCGAAUGAAAUAUUGACCCGACACGACCCGACCUGAUCAUGACCCGAAACCCAAGAUGACCCGACCCAAACCCGACCCGAUGACCUGUUUUGACAGCUCUACUCCAUACACGUACGACUUCAAAAUCAUUCUCCUCCAUAAUUCAUCACCGGCCAUCAUCAUCACCGGCCAGCUUCACCACUUCUCAGUCACUCUUCGUCGGUCGUUCUUCGCAGUCAUCUGCGACCUAGCCGAUUAGUCAUCUGCGACCUAGCCUUCGAUUAGCUUCAUCAAUUUUUUCUCUCUUCCUGCUCUUGGUUGUUUAGGGUUUUUCGAAUUCGAUUAGUUAAUAGUUAAUUAUGCUUCGUAUUAUACUUUAGGGUUUAGGGUUUUCGAAUUAAAUGGAUAAUUUAGGGGUUAAUCUUGGUUGGGGUUUUCGGUUUUGUUGAUUUUUAAUGGUCAUUAUUUGAAAUUGCAGCAACGAAACAUUUGAACAGGGGUAUUGCUAAGUUUGUACUCAAACGGUGUCGGUUGCCGGCUUGCCGCCUCUCCUCUGCAGCACCUGUCUUCUUCUCUAUUCCGUUUGUGACAUCCUUCAAAGAAACUCCAUCAAGUAACAUCAGCAGUUAAAACUAGGCGAAUCAGCCUUAUUGAUCUUGUUGCAUUGUGAAGAGAUAAACAAGUUGAUGCCGGAAGAGAGUUUGAAAGGGAACGAAAAGAACUGAAGAGUUCUUUGUCACACUUUGGUAUUGGCAAACCGUGAAUAUUGCUAUCCAUGCAGUUCUAUAUCAAAAAUGGGUGGAAACCAAUGGUGUCUAAGUGGAAAAUUGAAUAUAGUGGUUCUAGCUUACAGUGGGGGCUGAGGAAAACAUGGUAGGACGUCUCCUACGAACAGGGGAAGCCAGUGCUUCAUAACAGGGGGAGUCAAUGCUCCAUAACAGGGGAAGCCAGUGCUUCAUUUCAGGGGGAACCUUGGUUCCAUAUCAGGGGAAGCCAGUGCUUCUUAUCAGGGGGAACCUUGGUUCCAUAUCAGGGGAAGCCAGUGCUUCUUAUCAGGGGGAGCAUGGGCUCCAUAUCAGGGGAACUUGACCAGUUCUUACACUUUUAUUUAUCAUGUUUACAUUUCUUUUAAUCGAACAUUAAUCAGGAAAAUCUCAAUCAUUCAGGGUGGUUCAAUAAACCAUUAAAUCUCGUUAUUUCAUAAAAUCAUUUCUUUCAGGAAUAAUAAUAAUUCAUUAAAUCAAUACUUUGCAUAAAGCUGCAUUAUCGUAAAACAAUUCAAUCAAAUCAUACUUGUAAUCCCGCAAUUCAUAAAACAUCAUUAUAAAACAUCAAUCAUUCAUAACAUCAUUCAUAAAUACAUUUCGAAGGGAAUGCGGGUACUAGCAAUAACCGUUACCUCAACUGUGGUUUUACCCUUCCUGUUUGAUGGAUCGUUCUCCCUGAGCUCCGAGUCUGAUUUCUUUCAAAGUAUUUAAUCAUUGAAUUAGUAUUAAAACGAUAACUACUUUAAAACUAAUUAUUUUUAUAAAUAUUUUUAGUUUAUAAAUUCAUAAAAUAACUUGAAUAAAGUAUUAUUAAAUUCCAUUAAAUCAAUACAUGAAAUAUUUUCAUAAAUCAAUAAAAUACUUAAAAAUCAAUAAUAUUUUUCAUAAAUCAACACAUGCAAUAUUUAUCAAAUUUUAAAUCAAAUUAGUUUCUAAAUCAUUUAUUUAAUUAUAAUAAUGCUAAAAUAAGUAGUAAUUUAUUUAGGGCUUAAAUUGGAUGGCAAAACUUACUUAGAGGUGUUUGGGCCUAAGGGUUUUGGGCUUAGCUUGAGCAACAAAAAGGAACAAAGUUCCAAUACUGGAACUUGUUUCUCGUGAAACUGGGCACGAAGAACAGAACCAAGGGAGGUGGGUGCUCGAAAUAGAGAAGCACGAAGGGAAGGAAGAGAGAAGGGAGGAGGGCGGCUAGGGGCUCGGUGCCGCCGAAUUGUGCCGGUGAAGGAAACGGAGGUGGUGGGUGGUUUGCGGCGGCAGAACCACGAGGAAGGAAGGGAGGUUGUGCGUAAAGAAGAGGGGAGGCAGGGGAUUUGUGGGCUGGGUGGUUCAGGGAGGUGCAGCGGUGGGACGACGGUGAGUGUGAAGGCGAAAAAUAAUUCAACCAGCAAGGGAGGUGGCUGAGUGGUGGUGGUCGCACCGGUGGUGGUGCGCCGGAGGAGAAAAAGAAAAAGAAACAGGGGUGCGCGAAGAUGGAAAAGCAGGGGAGGGGGAGGUACGGUGGCGGUCGAGUGGUGCUGGGGUGGUUGAGGAGGUGUUGAUCGGUGGGGAUAAUGGUGGUGGUGGUGGUUUCAGUGGCAGAAGCCACUGAUGGUGGUGGUGAUUCGCACAAGCAGGAAAACAAAAGGGGAGUAAAUUUGGUUUUUGAUUUAUUUGAUUUUUUUGGUUGAGAAACAAGAUGGCAAUUUGUGUCUGAUCAUAAAAACUAAGAAGAGUGAAGAAGAAGGAUCACCCCUUGGGGAGCAAGUAAUGAACCAAGACUGAUUUGAGGGAAGGGGAGUAAAAACAUACGUGGAAUGGAGGAAGGAGAUGAGAAAUGGAAUUUUGCUCUUCAAGGGCAUUUUAGUAAUUUUCCUUAGUUAGGCAAAUUUCUGAAAAUUUGGUGCUAUUUUAGGAAAUUAAUUAGAAUAGUAAUGUUUAAUUAAAAUCAAGUUUUCAAAUAAUUCUUUAUAAAAGUGUCGUUAACGAAAAAUAAAUUUCGUUUUCGAAUAAAAUAAGAACGUUAUUAAAUUAUGAAAAAUCCGAAAAUAAUUAAGAUUUAAAAAAGAUCGUUUAAGCACGUAAAUAUAAAAAUUAAAUUAUAUAAUCUGAAAAUAAUAAAUAAAUCGUGUAGCAAUUAUUAAAAAUUUAAGAUCGAAAUAAAGCUUCGUUAAUUAAAACAAAGUUCAAUUUAGGAUUUAAAACGAUUUUAAGCUAAAUAAAAAUUAUUAAGCAUAAUUAAUCGAGUUUUAAAAAUUCGGGGUAUUACAGAAGGUUCGAUGAUGAGAACAUAAAUCUCCACUUGGCAACGUAUCUCCUGUAAAAUAACGAAUCUCGAUCACCCUUUUCAUUUCGGCCAAACCUGCUAUUUAUAGAAACCUGCUAAAAAUAGUAACUGCCAUAACGGAUAGUUGUUAAAAGUGGAAAAUCAUAAAAGAUAGAAACCUGUCAGAAUUAGGUGUUGCACUCCAACGUAAAUCCUAAAAGAGAUAGAAUUUACAAAGGGAUUCUAUUCCUAAUACAGUUCGAAAAUAAAGAGUUACAUAUUAAUUAAAUCCUAGCGAACCUAGAGUUCGUAACAGGCCCAGACGCAUUCCGUCAUAAGUUGAUACGCACUAAGAAACUCGGAUAAGUCUCAAAAACUCCGUGAUUAAGAGUCCAAAUCUGACAAAAGGCACGGCUCAGAUCCUAUUUUCAACGCCUGGGUCUGGCCUGGGCGCUGAAAAUACCUGGGGCCGUGUCGCCUCCAAAUUCUUUUUGGAUUCGGAUUCUUAAGAUCUAUCUUUCCACGAACUCUUUCCCUAUAAAUACAGCCUCAAAACCGACGUGAACAGGACACACAAUUCUAUAAUCUGAGUAUUGACUCCAACCCUAAGCCUAAGCCUCACGCUGCGAAAUUGAUCCCGCGUUCUGUUGCAAUCGACCCAAAAGUCGAACAGAACGUAUCCAGUCCUUUGUAGCUGACGAAUUAAGCCUAAAUACUGGAACACUGCUCAGAAACCCGAGAUUCGUUAAAUAAAAGGAGAAAUAGCAAAGCCAAGUGGUUAGUUUUCUGAGAACCGUGACGCACCUCUCAAGGGUGCGUUGUAAUGUGUCCCUUCGCAUGAUUUAAUCGCUUUCAUCACCCUUUUAUAAAAUUGUUAAACUAUUAAUUUGAUUGAUCUAUCACGCCUCAUAAAGAUAAUACCUUGGACAAUUGAACUAUCAUGCUAGGUACCUUAAAUCAAUCUAAAUAAGAUAAUCACGAUCGAUUUAGUGUUAUGUGUUGCAUAUUGCUAAAAUCAACUCAGAAUAGUUUAAUAGUUUAACGCAUGUCCCUUCAAUUAUUUAUGAUGAGCUAGUAAGGAUAACCUGCCUCUGGAGUUAUCGAUGAGCAAUCCUCUCGGUAGUUACAGUCCCCCGAACUCUCAAUCUCUGCCCUGCGGGUGUACGUUGAGCGAUCCCUACACCAGGGAUCACAAGGGAACCUAUGGCCGUCGUGGUCGAACAUAAUUGCACUCCCUUUAUGUCACGAUAACCGGGUUUUGUCAGUUUUUCUCAUUGUCGUUAAAAACUGAAUGGCGACUCCUAUAUUACUAGUCGAUUGGGUGUAAACUCACAGGAAAUCUAACAACACUUGAUCUGGCGACGUCACGCCCACGAGGGACGAGGUCAUGCAUUAGCCUCGUGCUUUUUCGACCCCCUCACAGUGGCGACUCCACUGGGGACGUUAAUGAAAUACUCGUGCUCGUAGGUAAUCAAAAUAGCCGAAGGGUGAAACGAUCCUACUCCGCGUUUAUUUCCUUAUCAAGUUGGGACGACCUGAAGAUCAGCAUAUUAAUGUGAACGGACAGAACCGCAUAACGAAUCUCGGCUCCCUUGGCAUGUUUCAUCUCGGGAGUUGGGACUAAGGAUACCCAUCGCCAACCGGGGGGUGCAUAUGCUUCGAAUGUUGUCCACUCGGCACUUUUCGCUAGUAGUACACCCGUCCCAAACCCAAUCGCUCGCCCACUAAGGUCCCUCUCAUUGGUGCAUGCCCCCUUGGCUUACAUCGUGAUUGGCCUCUUGGGACGAAAUUCGUCUGUUGAAUGCACUACCUCGACCGGGGCAUGUGUUGGAUCUACGAUAGAAGCGGUACCAAGCCAGGCGCAAAUAUUACCCAUAGAAGCCUAUCAUAAACUACGUGACAUAUUAUUUUUGCUUCAUGUUGUAAUGUUAGUUAUGUGUAGCGAAUUACGUGAUUAUAUUGUGAUUGUGUGUGACAAAUAACGCUAGAAAACCAACGACCCUAAAAAUUGCCCAAACAUUCAUAAACACCGAUUGGCCAAAGAGUUAUACCAAAAUACGUGUUCCGUAACCCCGGGCGAUCGCCCCAAAAAUAAGCGACGCCUAGGAUGGCCCGUAACGGAUCCCACAUAGCUGCACGACGCGUAAAGGACGUUAUUAGGCAAGCACGAAAAAUAAGUCGCAUGUACGAAAAAAAAAUAGACGAACAGAAUACGAGUACCAGUCAGGGACGCAUUUUCAGCGCCCCUGGCUGGGCGCCAAUUAUUUCAACACCCCCUGCUGGGCGCUGAAGUUGCUGCUUAGCCUGUUGGCCAGGCACCGCAGCCUCGGUGCCCGCGCACAAAAUAUACGUAGCAAUAAAAAAAAUUCAUGACAAAUUUGCUACGAGGGCGUAUGGAAAAGGUACUCAAUUCUAAAAACGACUUAUAAAAUAAAUAGCUCCUUGUGUCGUCAUUAGGCCUCCUAUGACGGCAAUGUUCGGCAAUGUUCGGCACCAAAACCGAGCUUGCUAAUUAAAAUAACUUUGAAUGUCACACGGGCAAAGAUUUUCGAAAAUAUAAAAGAGUUCAGAGUGCACACAGUAGUCCAAAUGUACUAGUCCCACUUAAGGGUAGUCAUAAAGUGUCUAAGAGGCCAACUCAUAAAAUAAACUAAUGUGUCUCCUACUCCGUAAUGUUAAUACAGGGUCCCUGAAUACCUACCCAUGAUAGCCAUCAAGGAUCGCAAUGGAAGUGGCAUAUCCUGAACAUCCACUCCUAGAGGUCGCACAAACCCAAGAGAUGCAUGCUCUGGGACACGACCCUCUACGUUCUAAAAAGCCACUCGCCUCAAAGAACUACACGAUGCCAAAAGCCUCCCCCAACACACAUGCUUUCGGGCUGUUGUUUAGGUUAGAGAAGAAAAGAACAAGGAGCAAAACAGAAAUCAUGGCAUUGGCCCUUCAAGAUGAAUUAUUUGAUCCCACUAAACUGAUCGCUCCAUCACCCCUAAAGAUCGACCAAACCAAACAAGGGUGGCGCAUGACCUUCAAAUGGACUAAUGCUCGUGAAAUGAAAUUCAAGAUAUCUGCGGGAGAAGGCCCAAUGCGUGAAGAAUCCGAGUCUGAAUUCGAGUCUGAAUCCGAGUCUGAAUCCGAGCCUAAACAUAAUAAAAUUGUAAUCCCUCCCAAAACUAGUUUAGACCCGGAAAUAUCCACUCCAGGAGAUCUUUUUGAUGUAAUGCUUCACGACUUUAAUAAGAUGAACAAAAUUUUUGAGUAUAUGCCGCUUAAAAAUUCGAGUAGUAAUGCAGAAUGCCUCGCCACUAAUGAGCACGAAAAAGAGCCAGAAUAUACCGAAUGAAUAAAAGCUGUAAAUGAACAAGAACUCAAAACCCCCAUAAUUGAGGACACAGAAUCGGUAAAUAUUGGAACAGAAGAAAAUCCUAAAUUCAUUAAAAUUGGCCUCACCUUAACUCCCACUGAAAAAAUCGAUCUGAUCUCCACCUUACGGGAAUUCGAGGGUGUCUUUGCUUGGUCCUACAAAGACAUGCCCGGAAUAGAUCGAGAAAUCGCUGAGCAUAGGAUUCCGCUGGAUCCCAAAAUGACGCCAGUAAAACAAAAGCUGCGACGGCUUAAGCCGGAGAUAGCCUUGAAAAUAAAAGAAGAAGUCACUAAACAAUUAGACGCAGGCUUCAUAAAGGUCUCCAACUACCCAGAAUGGGUGGCCAAUAUUGUCCCUGUAGCUAAAAAAGACGGACGAGUGCGAAUGUGCGUAGAUUUUCGAGAUCUCAACAAAGCCAGUCCCAAAGAUGACUUCCCUCUACCUCACAUUGACAUAUUAGUAGACAACACAGCGGAACAUGCGCUUCUCUCCUUUAUGGAUGGGUACGCAGGAUAUAACCAAAUACUUAUGGCAGAAGAAGAUAUGGAAAAAACAACCUUCAUUACCCCUUGGGGUACGUAUUGCUACACUGUAAUGCCUUUUGGUUUGAAAAACGCGGGGGCCACCUAUCAAAGAACAGCCACCACGUUACUUCAUGACAUGAUACACAAAGAAAUCGAGGUCUAUGUAGACGAUAUGAUCGUCAAAUCUAAAGACCGGCGCGGUCACCUCCCGACACUUAGGAAAUUCUUCACCCGAAUCCUAAAAUAUAACAUGCGACUAAACCCACAAAAAUGUGUGUUCGGGGUAACCUCCAGAAAGUUACUAGGAUAUGUGGUUAGUACACGGGGAAUCGAGAUUGACCCAUCCAAGAUUAAAGCCAUUACAGAAAUGCCCCCACCAAAAACUGAAAAAUAAAUAAGGGGUUUCCUAGGAAAGCUGCAAUACAUUAGUAGGUUCAUUUCUAAGCUUACCAUGACUUGCGAGCCAAUAUUUAAAAAAUUAAGAAAAGAAGAAAAAGCCGAAUGGGAUGAACAAUGCCAAACUGCCUUCGAUAAAAUCAAAGAAUACCUAAGCAAACCACCCGUCCUUUCCCCUCCUUCGCCCGGAAUUCCUUUACGUCUAUACCUCACCGUCACGGAUACUGCAGCGGGAGCUAUGCUCUCACAGUGUGUACAUGGAUCCGAGCGAGCCAUCUACUACUUGAGCAAGAAGUUCAUACAGUACGAGACGAGAUAUACAAAACUUGAAAAAACCUGCCUCGCCCUCGUUUGGGCGUCCAAAAAACUCAGAAAUUACCUAUUAGCCCACACCGUUCAUAUAGUGUCACAACUAGACCCCUUAAAAUACAUGUUCGAAAAGCCCGCACUAAAUGGUCGCUUAUCCAGAUGGCUAGUCAUGCUCUUAGAAUUCGAUCUAAAAUUCAUGCCAGAAAAAACAAUCAAAGGAAGAGCGGUAGCCGAAUUCCUGGCCGAACAUGCUACGAAUGAGGAAACCACGGAAGCUUACCUCCUCCCUGACGAGGAACUUCUGAUGGUACGAGACGACUGUUGGACACUAUACUUCGAUGGAGGAUCCAAUCAAAAGGGAUGCAGUGUCGGAGUUCUCCUAGUCAGUCCCGAAGGGGCCCAUAUACCAAUUUCCGUCAAACUUGACUUCGAGGCCACAAACAACGCCGCCGAGUAUGAAGCCUGCAUAGUUGGGCUAGAGGCCGCGGUUAGCCUCGGAGUCAAACAUCUGCAAGUCUUCGGGCAUUCUUCCCUAAUAAUCAACCACAUAUCCAAAAGAUGGAAAGUCCGAACACUACUACAAAUACCGUGGUUUCACGACGCCUUGGACUCGACGCCAAGGGGAGAGCGUUGAACUACAUGAUAUAGUCCGCGCGUCGUCUCGACGCCUAUCUGCGUCUUCUAAAAUUCUCGAUGAAUAUAGGCGUCGAGAGUUUACUAAAUACCCCAUGUGAGGCGCACGCGUCAUACUUUACAUCCCUCGGAUCCAAAUUGGGGGAAAAUUGUCGGCAUUUAACCCUAAACUGCUAAACACCGCUCGCGCUCUCUCUCUUCCCUGCUUCCAGAUCUACACGAAGAAGCAUUUCUCUGCCUUGAAAUCGACAUGAACAUACAUGUAGUCCUCCGUUGACAUUUCUAACUCAACUUUAAGAUAUUCAAGUAGUUUGUUUCUUUAAUUUAUUUGAAGGCUGGAUUUUGGGGGAGUCUGAAGUGCUUGAGGCAAGGAAGCUGAAAGCAUCUCAUGAGAACAUCGAGCUGUUGAAGGAGAAGUUCAAUGAAGAAAAAAGGCGCAGGGAGAGGGUCGAGGCUGAGCUAGCUAAGUUACAAGAUAUUCAGCGAAGUAUGAAUGUACUCGAGGAUGAAUUGACCUCUUGGAAGAAAGUCAUUAAAGACAUUCCUGGAGUUGAAUCUUCUGAUGAUAUCACCCUGAAGUUUGUUGCUCUGCAGAAGCCAAGUUCGUACAGGAAGUGCUUCAACACAAGCUCUUGAUUGUGCACAACAAGUCUUGGGAAUGGCACAAAAAAGGGUUGUCCAACGUGAUAAGGUGCAAAAGCAGCAUGAAGGCCGAGAGUUGAACUUCAUAUGAGCUACUACCAUCGGUCAUCUAUAUAUAUAUAUUUAGUAUAUAUAGUACAUCCUAGCUAGUUAGUUUUUCUAGGUUUUAGUUUUAAUUUCUUGGGUUUGAUUUAUGAUGUUGUUUAGGACUGUUUGGUUAGGAUUUCGGUUAGUGAUAUAGAUGCAUGUAUGUUUGGAUUCUGGUUAGUAACAUACGUGUACGUACUAUGAAGUUUUUGUAAGUUUAUGAAAAUUCAAUCAGGUUUCAUUGA
This is a long non-coding RNA of Spinacia oleracea (spinach), 9546 nucleotides long. RefSeq lists it as uncharacterized. Lineage: Eukaryota; Viridiplantae; Streptophyta; Magnoliopsida; Caryophyllales; Amaranthaceae. The transcript has 9 exons. The record is from RefSeq and is a predicted model, not a curated record.